AUUGAACGCUGGCGGCAGGCCUAACACAUGCAAGUCGAACGGUAACAGGAAACAGCUUGCUGUUUCGCUGACGAGUGGCGGACGGGUGAGUAAUGUCUGGGUAACUGCCUGAUGGAGGGGGAUAACUACUGGAAACGGUAGCUAAUACCGCAUAACGUCGCAAGACCAAAGAGGGGGACCUUCGGGCCUCUUGCCAUCGGAUGUGCCCAGAUGGGAUUAGCUGGUAGGUGGGGUAACGGCUCACCUAGGCGACGAUCCCUAGCUGGUCUGAGAGGAUGACGAGCCACACUGGAACUGAGACACGGUCCAGACUCCUACGGGAGGCAGCAGUGGGGAAUAUUGCACAAUGGGCGCAAGCCUGAUGCAGCCAUGUCGCGUGUAUGAAGAAGGCCUUCGGGUUGUAAAGUACUUUCAGCGGGGAGGAAGUGAGUAAAGUUAAUACCUUUGCUCAUUGACGUUACCCGCAGAAGAAGCACCGGCUAACUCCGUGCCAGCAGCCGCAGUAA
This 506-nucleotide ribosomal RNA is filed under the name uncultured bacterium. RNAcentral's name for it is "partial 16S ribosomal RNA". It matches the Rfam family "Bacterial small subunit ribosomal RNA", at positions 30 to 523 of the family's 1533-position model. The record is from RNAcentral.